Long non-coding RNA from Oncorhynchus nerka (sockeye salmon), 1444 nucleotides. RefSeq lists it as uncharacterized. The transcript has 2 exons. The record is from RefSeq and is a predicted model, not a curated record. Lineage: Eukaryota; Metazoa; Chordata; Actinopteri; Salmoniformes; Salmonidae.
AAUCCACUGGGAAAGGCAAGAGGAAAGCUGGUUUAGUGUGGAAGGUUGUGAGAAUUAGUUUAGUCUUAAACUGAGUUUAAGUGUCCCGAGGCCCAAAUACAUCAGAGUAAUCAGCACAGUGAAAGCUUUGCGAGCGUAGCUGCAUUUAAUUAGAAUGCACUAUUUUAAUAAUAAAAUAAGCCACACUCGCAUCAGCCAGAAAUAUUGUCAACCGUAACUCAAUACCAUACAUAACAGCAACCGACAGUUUUAGUCUUGGAAACGAUCAAAUUAAUUCAAUGCUACUGCACUUCACCCCAUACUCCCCCGGGAGCAGAUGGUGCUAUGUUUAAGCCAUCGGAGUGAAAAGUGCAUGGGACGUUAGCAACAUGUAUAGACUCUAGUGUUAGGAGGUAGGGAAGCAAAUGCCUACUGUAGCUUAAUAAUAAUCCAUUACAAGCCAAACUGGCACUAACAGAACUCUCUCUCUCUAUCUCUCUCCUCUCAGAAGGCUGAGAAACUUCCCUGAGUAACAAAGAGUCACAAUGGGAUACCUACCAACACUCCUGUCGUUCUCUGCCCAGAGCAGACAACCCAAAGGAUGCCAGCACUCAAGACAAAGCACCUGGAAUGCUGAUCUGGGCCAGGAGAAAGAAAGGAAAAAAACAAUCCCUUCUGCAGGACGAUGGUUCUUGGCAUGGGUUCAUCUCUCAGGGUGUUUUAACAUAUAGUCCUCUUUAAAAUAAUCAAUCUCAGUCCUCUUUAAAGUGAACUCUGGGGUAAAAAAAAGAAGAAGAAGCUAAAGAACUCGGUUCUCUUUGUAUUCACACUGCCCUUGCCUUUGAAUGAGGACUUUUUUGCCAGUUCACUUCACCUAUUUUGUGGUCCGAGUACACUUUGCCCUCACAUUGUUAUGUUCAGGAAGGAACCUAGAUCUUUGUCCAACAUUCACUCUGGGCUUUUACAAAGUACAGGACAAGCCAUUCCAUCAGAACGUGUUAUCGGACAGUUCGAUAUACAGUACCUAAUUACAUUUAGUUAAAAAAUGAGACAUACAGUAAUAAUUAUACUUUGAAGAUAAUAUUAACAUGUAAAUAUUAUUGGUAACAGAAUAAAUAGCAUAAGAAUACAGUAGAUUAAAUAAUGCUGUAAUUUAAAAUUGUACACCCAAUGUAGGCUACUGGCCCUUUAAGAGCUACUUUUGAUUUUGUGGUUAGUGCUUUCUGGGAUCUUUGGGACGUCCCUACCCUAAAUCCAAACAAUACCCUGGAACCAUAAACCUUAAAGCUUAACUUAACCAUUGUAAAUGUCAACUUCAAUGGGGUAAAGUCAGAGUUGGGACGUCCCAAGGUUCCAAGAUAGCAAGGACCUUGGUUUUGUACCCUAUAUUUUGAUUCUGACAAAAUAUGUUGUCUUCUCACACCUUUUCAAACCCCAAAAACGAAUAAACAGCGUAUAAAGCUUU